RNAcentral lists this ribosomal RNA (253 nucleotides) under uncultured bacterium. Its description in RNAcentral is "partial 16S ribosomal RNA". It matches the Rfam family "Bacterial small subunit ribosomal RNA", at positions 524 to 776 of the family's 1533-position model. The record is from RNAcentral.
UACGAAGGGGGCUAGCGUUGUUCGGAAUUACUGGGCGUAAAGCGCACGUAGGCGGCGAUUUAAGUCAGAGGUGAAAGCCCGGGGCUCAACCCCGGAAUAGCCUUUGAGACUGGAUUGCUAGAAUCUUGGAGAGGCGAGUGGAAUUCCGAGUGUAGAGGUGAAAUUCGUAGAUAUUCGGAAGAACACCAGUGGCGAAGGCGGCUCGCUGGACAAGUAUUGACGCUGAGGUGCGAAAGCGUGGGGAGCAAACAGG